GUGGGGAAUAUUGGGCAAUGGGCGAAAGCCUGACCCAGCAACGCCGCGUGAAGGAAGAAGGUCUUCGGAUCGUAAACUUCUAUCCUUGGUGAAGAUAAUGACGGUAGCCGAGAAGGAAGCCCCGGCUAACUACGUGCCAGCAGCCGCGGUAAUACGUAGGGGGCAAGCGUUGUCCGGAAUGAUUGGGCGUAAAGGGCGCGUAGGCGGCCUGGUAAGUCUGGAGUGAAAGUCCUGCUUUUAAGGUGGGAAUUGCUUUGGAUACUGUCGGGCUUGAGUGCAGGAGAGGUAAGCGGAAUUCCCGGUGUAGCGGUGAAAUGCGUAGAGAUCGGGAGGAACACCAGUGGCGAAGGCGGCUUACUGGACUGUAACUGACGCUGAGGCGCGAAAGUGUGGGGAGCAAACAGGAUUAGAAACCCCAGUAGUCC
This 425-nucleotide ribosomal RNA is filed under the name uncultured bacterium. RNAcentral's name for it is "partial 16S ribosomal RNA". It matches the Rfam family "Bacterial small subunit ribosomal RNA", at positions 354 to 796 of the family's 1533-position model. The record is from RNAcentral.